This 399-nucleotide long non-coding RNA is filed under the name Hordeum vulgare. RNAcentral describes it as "long non-coding RNA (HVUL_LNC010260)". Lineage: Eukaryota; Viridiplantae; Streptophyta; Magnoliopsida; Poales; Poaceae. The record is from RNAcentral.
CAAAAGAAGAGAAAAAUAUUCGAUUCGAAUUCAAAGUUGGAUCGGCUCGGUGUGGAUCAAGCUUAUCGACACCGAACCACAAAUGUGACGGCCAACAGCAGUGGCCAAAGUUUGAUACAGAUAACAUUCGGCAUUCUGAGGCAAAAGUGCGUUCACCAUAAAGUUUUUCAAGCGUCGCCAGGACUGGCAGGCUCCACAAAGGUGUCAAGGUCGAUCCCGUCUGCGAUGCGAGUGGUUGUGUCGAUGAAGGUCUCCAUGAAAUCUUCGAAUCGCAGCUUCUUGGUGUUGGCGACCUGCAACGCCUUCAGCUUUUCUUCGCGAGCUUCUUUGCAGUGCACUCGGACCAGAGAUAGCGCCACGUCCGCACCACAACGAGCGGCACACUUCUUCCAUGCCUGC